GUGUCAGCAGCCGCGGUACUACGUAGGGGGCAAGCGUUGUCCGGAAUCAUUGGGCGUAAAGAGCGUGUAGGCGGCCAGAUAAGUCCGCUGUGAAAUCUCCGAGCCUAACUCGGAAACUGCAUCGGAAACUAUCCGGCUCGAGGGUUGGAGGGGGGACUGGAAUACUUGGUGUAGCAGUGAAAUGCGUAGAUAUCAAGUGGAACACCAGUGGCGGAGGCGAGUCCCUGGACAACUCCUGACACUGAGGCACGAAAGCUAGGGGAGCAAACAGGAUUAGAUACCCUGGUAGUCCUAGCUGUAAACGGUGCACGUUUGCUGUGAGAGGUGUCGAAUCCUUUCGUGGCGAAGCUAACGCGUUAAACGUGCCGCCUGGGAAGUACGGUCGCAAGAUUAAA
This 395-nucleotide ribosomal RNA is filed under the name uncultured bacterium. RNAcentral's name for it is "bacterial SSU rRNA". It matches the Rfam family "Bacterial small subunit ribosomal RNA", at positions 505 to 898 of the family's 1533-position model. The record is from RNAcentral.